Molecule: long non-coding RNA, 2946 nt
Organism: Corvus hawaiiensis (hawaiian crow)
Lineage: Eukaryota; Metazoa; Chordata; Aves; Passeriformes; Corvidae
Exons: 2
Source: RefSeq, a predicted model, not a curated record
GGUGCGGGGGGGGGGGAACCAGGCGCGGCAGCUCAGCGCAGCGCGGACGCGCAUCGCCCGCCGAUAUCCCGCAGCCGGCGGAGAACGAGCCCUGCCGGGUAAUGACUCCCCCCCGACGUUAUCCCGCAGCCGGGUGGAGGUAGAGGUUGAGCCCUCCCGGGGAGGGCCCCGGCACCCCGCCACGAGCUCCGGGGACACGAGCCAUCCCGGCGCAGAAAAUGCUCUGGGAAAGUCUUUUCCCGUGCGGAGGUGGAGCUGCGGGGGGACGGGCUCGCCCUGUCCACGCGUUUUGCCGACAGAUGAGUUUCCUAACUGAACGUCCCAAGGCUCCAGCAGAGCCACCUACUCCGGGACAAGCUCCCCGUCCAGCGCCAGGCGCUUUGUCGCACCCCCCGCCCCGCGCUCCUCGGCCCACGCGCGGCCAUGCCCGGCUAUUAAUAACCAGCAGCCUGCGGAGGAGCAGGGACGUACCGUGAGAGGGCUGAGGGCUGAACCUCUCCCUCCCUUUCACCCAGGAUGCUGCGCUCCAGCGUGAGCAGGAUGUGGAUUUAGCUGAUCCAGAACAACACAUCCUCCCUGGCUGGGAGGGGAGUAGUCGCCAGCGUAAACACCGUCGCUGCACAGCCUGACCUCAGCACCUCCCUGCCUCUGGGCUCCUGUGACAGACAAAAUAAAACCUGAUGAAAAAACACAGUACUUGCCUACUGUAAAGGAAAAUGGAGGCUAUUUCUUAAAAUUUGUGUGCCCCAGUGCCUUAGUUUCACAGAGGAACCGCUUAUUCCUGUCAACACGGGGCUUUUGCAUUGUAAGUUUCAAGCAGAAGCAGCACUGGGAAGCCCUCCAGGCUUUAGCCAUCUUCAGCCAGAGAUCCUCAAACUGUACCAGAUUAUUAGGAUCACAGUACAGAAGUCACUCAGUGGUGCCUGUAUUCCCACCUUCUAAUCCCAAGAUUUAAAGUCUUCGGUACACUUUUAAAUUCUUUCAGUACCCUUGAGGACCUGAUCUAGUGGGUGGCAUCCCUGCCCAUGAUGGGGAGUUUGAACUAGGUUAUCUUUAAGGACCCUUCCUGGGGGGUUGGAAAUAGGUGAUCUUUAAGGUCCCUUCCAAACCAACCCUUCCAGCCUGAGGCCAGCACCUCUCUAGUUCCUCUCCAGCAUUCACGGGUCCUCUCCUCAGCUCCUGAUGCCUUCAUCCUCACAGCAUCCCUGUCCAGCUGCUGGUCAAGAGCAUGGGGUGCUCUUAGAUAUUCUGAGUGCAAUAUCAUCAUGUUAUUAAGGCUGAAAAUCACUGGAUUUUCCAGAGAAUGUGUCUCCCCGUUGUGGGACUGCCAAUCUGUCCCAUACUGCUGAGUCACCAGGAUGCUUUCCUUGGAAAGAAGGAAUUGGCAGUUUCCAGACUGACUUCUGUGACGCUGCUCGAUAUUUGUUAUUUCCGUUAUGUUGAGCACGGCACAGAAAGAAUGGUCUGACAAAUAAACAGUCUGCAGGAAUGUUCCCUGAAACAAUGUGAUGCUAAAGACUGUUUUCCAAGAAAGAGGGCUCAAUUUCCCCCUAUUCAUCCUGCCAGCCAGAUCCAUGUGAAGUUUUCUCCUUAUCUGCGAGGCUGAUGUUCCCCUUCACAAGGUUGCCUGGCACAAGGCCUGGGGAUGCAGAUGUUGUAGACUGAGUCAGAAUGCAGGGGAGGCCACUUUGGAUGCCAGCAACUCUGCCCUUUGCUCUUCCCAUCCCUCUGGGAGUUAUGCCUGGGAUGCUCAUGCUUUCCCUGUCUCCCCAUCUCACCCAAAGUGUCCCUCCCUGAGCAUAUUUUAGUUAAUUUCUCAUGCAACUGCUCAGGAUUGAAAAAGCCUUUCUAAGUUUCAUCCUUCAUCUAGGUUGCUGAGCUCCAGAGGAGGUAGGAUGGAGCCAGGGAUAUUUCUUUGUGAAAGAAUGACAUGUUGGUGGCAUUUAAGCCAGAACAGAAGUAAAUUAAACAUCCAGAUCAUAAAAGCACCAGAGGAUGUUUUAAAACAGGCUCUUUGCAGCAGUGCAUUAGUUGACUGUACAGCCUUACUGUGUAAUGAGUAAUAUAUUAAUUUAUAAUUAGCAUAAUACAGUGAAGCUUGGAAAAUAGCUCUGUGCACUCUGGAUAAUUCAUCAACAGAAGAAGCAGUUCUUAAUGGUUUCCAAGGUUUGCAUGUUCCCUGUAAUUGGGAAGUUCAGAAUUUAUUGUUAUUUCUUUGAAGGGAUAAUUUGAUUGCGACCACACAUCUUUAUUCCCUGUCUGUUCCUGCUGGAGUGCAGAGAAGCCUUUAGAGCGUUUCUGCUCUGGGUGUGUGACCUCUCUGCAGGGAUCUUCAUUCUCAAUUCUGCUCUCAAAGUCUUCAGGAGCCUCCUGGUCUCAUUUGAUAUUGCCUGACAGUAGAAAUACAGAAGAAGAAGAAUAAAUGUAUGACAAUAACACUCACUGGAAUUUAUGGAGGCUUUGGGGAACUUACUUUUCAAUUUGGAAGCUCAGACCCACAUUCCAGAGGAUGCAGGGAGCAGGACUUCUCCCUGCUUUUGUAGCAGUGCCCAGGCUUCCCAGAGAUCCUCUCCCUGGACUGCCAUUUUGACAGGUUGAGGAUCUGCACUGAAACUCCCUGUUGUCAGCAAAAUCUUCUGAAAAGGGAACAAAAUCCUCAGGGGUGGGUACUCAGUGCUGAGACAGCCUGGAGGCACUGGGGCCUGCUCAGAGGAAGGGGAUAAAUAAACUUGAAUCUUAAUUCAGUGGUCCACUGAAAACAGGGUGUGAUAAAUCUUCCCCAGGAAUAAAAUAUCAGGAGUUCUGCUUUUCCCAGCUUUAAUAAAAUAAUUCGUACCCUUCUGCCUAUUAGCAGCUGCAGAUAAGUUGAUUGCACUGAGCAUUUGAAGUCUUCUGACAUGCCCAUCUGCCUUUGCGUAACCAUUUGCCCCUAACCCUUGUCUUGUA